GCUCACAGCAGGAAAGUCACACAAAAGCAGUUAGAAAUGUAAUCUUAACAUGCUUUGAAGAUCGGUCACAGAAAUGAAUAAAUAAACUCUUACCUGGAUGUGUAAGGUCCAGUUCUUCAUCCAUCAAAACUUCCUAAUGCCUAACCCAGUCACUACCUGUGAUGGUUAAUCUUAGAUGUCAACUUGACCGGAUUGAGAGACACCUAGAAAAAAAUGGUUUAAUCCAGAAGUUCUGUAAAAUCAAGCACUGUUCCUUUGGCAGGAAGUUGUAGUCUGGUGACAGAGCCUACAGGAAGCAGAGAUAUCUCCAGACCCUGCAAGAACCAUCAUUACACUGCCAUCACUUAAUGGAAGGAGCCCUUGAAGUUACUUAGUGAGCAAACUUGUGCCCCCUUGUGGUCUGUUUGUUGAACUUGUUCAUGAUGAAAAAGGGUUAAUAUGUUCCAGGGAUUCCAAGUAUCUCCACCACUGCAUAUUAAUAUAUUGGUGUCUGGUUA
Non-coding RNA from Ictidomys tridecemlineatus (thirteen-lined ground squirrel), 497 nucleotides. NCBI's taxonomy places the organism in Eukaryota, Metazoa, Chordata, Mammalia, Rodentia, Sciuridae. The record is from RefSeq and is a predicted model, not a curated record.